CAAAACAAAAAAAAAGAGAGAGAGAGAGAGUGUCUGUCACAUUUAUUUUAGGCCCAGUCCACGAAGCAAAACUUUGACAGGCAAGAAAGUCUGGGCUUUUCAUGCUGCCAUUAGUGAUGUCAUUGUGGAACCAACGUCCUCUGUGUUGUUGCUUUAGGGUUAUCCCUCCUCCCCUCUGUCAUGCACUGGUCUGGUGAAACUGCUAAACUAGUUAAAACCACGGGAAUUCUUGGGGGAGUUUUUGUGAAUUCUCUGAGGUUUAGGUAAGAUAUUUGGUAACAUUUGAACAGAACAUUAACAUAUGUACACCUCUCUCCCUCUCCCUCUCUUUCUUUGCCUCUCUCUCUCCUCUCAGGGUAUCCCUAAACCUGUUGCAAUCGAGCCAUGCUCAGGAGGAAAAGCUGCUGUAUUGACUGUCCUCAUGCGUCUGCCCUCCGGGCCCUUAGACCUACCUCCACCAGGACAGUCAGGUCUUAUUGUUGCCAGUGCACUGAUAGACAUUUCACAACAGAAACCCACAGACUUUAAGGACAAGUCCCACGCUCUGAAGAAUCGAAAAGCCCUGCCCCCCGUGCACCAGGGCACCUGCGUUUAGGUAUCAACGUGUCAUUCCAAUUCCUCAUUUGCACCGUCUGAGGCACCGCACCGCACUGCACCGCACCGCACCAGGUCAUCCCAGGUCCUGGAUGGAAACCUUUAGAGACAAGAGAUGACCUGCCGUAGGAGAUGUCACUCUGCUGCUACCAGUGAAGUUUUAAUGUCCCAAGAGCACAACCUCGGCCACCUUCCUGCCCUGUUGCUCUAUUCUGCAUAUGUCAGCCUAAUAAAUCUUCCUGCAGCAGCAGCAGCAGCCUCCUCCGCCCACCGGGCUCUAACUUCUGUCCUCAUUACUGCGCCAGGAGCCAACCUGCCCGACCAGUGACAUUAGGAGAGACACAAUAAUUAGAGGAUGAAGCUUUGGUCGUAAAUAUUUGGGCACAUGAAGGAAAAGCGAAGGUGUUUGAAGUGACAUUUACCUCACACCUUGUUGGGAAAAAAAAGCAAAAGCAAAAUGCUGAUAAAUCCACAGAAUCUGCUGCCUGUUGUCCUCUUUGUCUUAGUUUUUGCUUGUCAACAGGUGAUUAUCUAUGGUGCUAAACCAUUUACUUGCUCUCUCUCUUUGACUUUUCUGUACAUACGUCAUCACUUACCCAGCUGAAGCUAAAUUCUGUAUUUCCUGUGGAAUACGUGUCCAAACUUUUCAAAGACCCGGGACUGUCUGAGGCUCGGGUUUCCAGACUGUGACACGUGAACAGAUCAGCAUUUGUCACAGUAAAAGCAUGGGAAACUUCAGAAAAGUUAGAUGCCCCCCUCACCCCCCUCCACCCCCACCCAGCACGCCCGGUGUAGUCGCUGUGAAAGGAGUUCUAAAAGGCAGUGAAACACAGAAGUUCUGCUCACUUCGUUACUGUACUUUUGUAUUUGUGAUAUUUGCUGUGCUGCUUGGACAUUAUAAGCUUUUGAGCCCGUCCUUGGAUGGAAGUGGCCGGCUGGGAGAAAGACGACGAAGCUUGAUUAAAUUAGACCAGGGACGUCUAGCUCCUCUGGUUGUUCCUUUUUUUUGUUUUUUUUACCCACUUAGUACACAAACCUACGAUGCCCUUUUUUAUAAUGUCUUCGCUUUCAAUGGACCAUGAUGGUGGGGGACGGGUUGAUGUGCAGAUUUUUUUUUCUUUUUUCUAAUAAGCAGUCAACCCUCAUUAGUCCCGCCUUCAUCCUGAGCUGUACAGCGUCUCGUCGGAACAAAUGUGAGUCUUUGUAACUCCUCUCUCUUGCGAAUUUCGUGUUAGUCAGGUUUUUCAAGAAACACAACAACAAGAGAUCGUUUAUUUUAUGCCUUGUCGUCUGGUUCAAAUAUACUGUUAAAAAAAAACAACCAAAACAACUUUUGUUACACUUGUGGAGAAAAUAAAAGCAUUUUUUGUCGUUGUUGUUUGUUUUGAUAUUUAACUGAUUCCUGUGUAAGAGGUGCAUUUAACCUGAUUUUAUCAUUGAUGUCAACCCAUCGUUUCAACGGCGGCUCCCUUUGAAUCGUGCAUCUUCAAUGGGCAUUGUCUUGUUUUUCCGUUGAGGUCAUUACGAUGCCUUUCCUUAAGAUGGUAUGCCAGUUUUUGUGUUUUCAUUUUGUGAUUGUAGAGUAAUACUAUAACAGUGUCAUUACACCAAAAAUCAGGGUCCCAUUGUAACGUGAAAAAGAUGACAAACAACAGACUGGUAAUCAUCAGUGUAUUUUAAAGAUGAACAACAUGUCAGAAAAGAAUAAAAACACAGAAACUCACCUGAAAA
Cynoglossus semilaevis (tongue sole) is the source of this 2325-nucleotide long non-coding RNA. RefSeq lists it as uncharacterized. Lineage: Eukaryota; Metazoa; Chordata; Actinopteri; Pleuronectiformes; Cynoglossidae. The record is from RefSeq and is a predicted model, not a curated record. The transcript is spliced from 2 exons.